This 437-nucleotide ribosomal RNA is filed under the name Wolbachia pipientis. RNAcentral describes it as "bacterial SSU rRNA". It matches the Rfam family "Bacterial small subunit ribosomal RNA", at positions 992 to 1428 of the family's 1533-position model. Lineage: Bacteria; Pseudomonadati; Pseudomonadota; Alphaproteobacteria; Rickettsiales; Anaplasmataceae. The record is from RNAcentral.
CAUACCUAUUCGAAGGGAUAGGGUCGGCUCGGCCGGAUUUUACACAAGUGUUGCAUGGCUGUCGUCAGCUCGUGUCGUGAGAUGUUGGGUUAAGUCCCGCAACGAGCGCAACCCUCAUCCUUAGUUACCAUCAGGUUAUGCUGGGGACUUUAAGGAAACUGCCAGUGAUAAACUGGAGGAAGGUGGGGAUGAUGUCAAGUCAUCAUGGCCCUUAUGGAGUGGGCUACACACGUGCUACAAUGGUGAUUACAAUGGGCUGCAAGGUUGCAAGGCUGAGCUAAUCCUAAAAAAUCAUCUCAGUUCGGAUUGUUCUCUGCAACUCGAGAGCAUGAAGUUGGAAUCGCUAGUAAUCGUGGAUCAGCAUGCCACGGUGAAUACGUUCUCGGGUCUUGUACACACUGCCCGUCACGCCAUGGGAAUUGGUUUCACUCGAAGCU